Molecule: long non-coding RNA, 226 nt
Filed under: Elaeis guineensis (African oil palm)
Lineage: Eukaryota; Viridiplantae; Streptophyta; Magnoliopsida; Arecales; Arecaceae
Description: long non-coding RNA (EGUI_LNC006348)
Source: RNAcentral
ACCCUCAAAAUGCUAAUCCACGUGUUUGCUACACAUGCAGUAUCUAGAUUAAAUUGAUGUAAUGACAAUUAAGUAUUGGUUUGUUAUUAAUGAGCUUUGUAUUAAUCCACAUGCAUAGACUUGAGAAAAACAAAAGAAGGAAGGAAGAAAGAAAGAAAAAGUCAGAGGUGAGAAAAAGUGUUAAUAGAGUAUCUAGACAUACCAAAGGCUGUUUGCAGUAGCCCAC